Molecule: ribosomal RNA, 828 nt
Filed under: uncultured bacterium
Lineage: Bacteria
Description: bacterial SSU rRNA
Rfam family: Bacterial small subunit ribosomal RNA
Source: RNAcentral
GGCGGACGGGUGAGUAAUGCCUAGGAAUCUGCCUGGUAGUGGGGGACAACGUUUCGAAAGGAACGCUAAUACCGCAUACGUCCUACGGGAGAAAGCAGGGGACCUUCGGGCCUUGCGCUAUCAGAUGAGCCUAGGUCGGAUUAGCUUGUUGGUGAGGUAAUGGCUCACCAAGGCGACGAUCCGUAACUGGUCUGAGAGGAUGAUCAGUCACACUGGAACUGAGACACGGACCAGACUCCUACGGGAGGCAGCAGUGAGGAAUAUUGGGCAAUGGAGGCAACUCUGACCCAGCCAUGCCGCGUGCAGGAAGACGGUCCUCUGGAUUGUAAACUGCUUUUAUUAGGGAAUAAACCCUCCUACGUGUAGGAGGCUGAAGGUACCUGAUGAAUAAGCAUCGGCUAACUCCGUGCCAGCAGCCGCGGUAAUACGGAGGAUGCAAGCGUUAUCCGGAUUUAUUGGGUUUAAAGGGUCCGUAGGCGGGUAUUUAAGUCAGUGGUGAAAGCCCACAGCUCAACUGUGGAACUGCCAUUGAUACUGGAUGUCUUGAGUAUAGUAGAAGUAGGCGGAAUAGGGCAUGUAGCGGUGAAAUGCAUAGAUAUGCCCUAGAACACCGAUUGCGAAGGCAGCUUACUAUGUUAUAACUGACGCUGAGGGACGAAAGCGUGGGGAGCAAACAGGAUUAGAUACCCUGGUAGUCCACGCCGUAAACGAUGAUUACUCGCUGCUGGCGAUAUACAGUCAGUGGCCAAGCGAAAGCAUUAAGUAAUCCACCUGGGGAGUACGCCGGCAACGGUGAAACUCAAAGGAAUUGACGGGGGCCCGCACAAG